AUGAUGUUGCAGAUUUGUUUUCUCUAUUUUUGCAACAUGGGUGUUGUUGCAGAAAAAAUGCAGUUUUUUUCAUCUUUUUUUUGCAAUAUGAGUGUUGUUGUGGAAGGCAAUUUUGCAAUAAACAUGAUGUUGCAUAAACAGAGACGCAAGGGACACACGUACAUGUGUCACACAGAGGAGGCGGCAGAUCUCUCGCGUGCGAUCUACCGUCUGAAGACGAGGAGAUGGCUCCCUGAAGAUGGAAUAAGGUUCUCCCUGCCCAACCCCCUCCCGGAUGAUGUUUCUAGUGUCGCCGAAGGGCUUGUGGAGGUUUGUCUUCGGAGGAUCUCAUGA
This 333-nucleotide ribosomal RNA is filed under the name Triticum aestivum (bread wheat). Its description in RNAcentral is "partial small subunit ribosomal RNA". The record is from RNAcentral. Lineage: Eukaryota; Viridiplantae; Streptophyta; Magnoliopsida; Poales; Poaceae.